RNAcentral lists this ribosomal RNA (498 nucleotides) under uncultured bacterium. Its description in RNAcentral is "partial 16S ribosomal RNA". It matches the Rfam family "Bacterial small subunit ribosomal RNA", at positions 899 to 1397 of the family's 1533-position model. The record is from RNAcentral.
ACUCAAAGGAAUUGACGGGGGCCCGCACAAGCGGUGGAGCAUGUGGUUUAAUUCGAUGCAACGCGAAAAACCUUACCUACCUUUGAAUCCACGGAAUCCUCUAGAGAUAGAGGAGUGCCUUAGGGAACCGUGAGACAGAUGCUGCAUGGCUGUCGUCAGCUCGUGUUGUGAGAUGUUGGGUUAAGUCCCGUAACGAGCGCAACCCUUAUCCUUAGUUACCAGCGAGUCAUGUCGGGGACUUUAAGGACACUGCCGGUGAUAAACCGGAGGAAGGUGGGGACGAUGUCAAGUCAUCAUGGCUCUUACAGGUAGGGCUACACACGUGCUACAAUGGCCGGUACAAAGGGUUGCCAACCCGCGAGGGGGAGCUAAUCUCAUAAAGCCGGUCUUAGUCCGGAUUGGAGUCUGCAACUCGACUCCAUGAAGCUGGAAUCGCUAGUAAUCGUGGAUCAGCAUGUCACGGUGAAUACGUUCCCGGGCCUUGCACACACCGCCCGU